AUCCCUAGCUGUGACGUAGGUGUGAACAUAAUAAACAUAAUAAAAAACAAUAUAUAUAUGUAGCAACGCUUCUAUACAACGCCUAUAAAGUUCCUCUUUGAUAAAUAAUGUAACAUUAUUGUGUGUGAUGUAGAAUGGUAUUUUUUUUAUGUAAAUUAGUAUUGUUCUUGGCACUUAUUAUUUUGUAAUGUAGGUUCUGCUCAAUCUGUAAGAGAUGCGUGUCCUCAGAAAACAGACAUUGUGAAAUCUGCACAUCUUGUACCUCCAAGGAUGGCCGAGCGUGGAAACACUGUCACCUGUGUAAUAGAUGCGUGAAGCCGUCAUGGACACACUGUUCCUCUUGUGGGCGUUGUGCUCUUGAAGGUCAUUCCUGCGGCAGUAAGGUAGAAGGCUGUUUUGUGUGUGGAGACAAAGAUCAUAAACGCAACAGCUGUCCGCGCCAUAAAACAAAGCAAAAUCAGAGCAAACGAAGUCUAAAAAUAAGUGUAAAGAAGUCUUCACGGAUUCCAGCUCUUUGGAAGAA
Long non-coding RNA from Bufo gargarizans (Asiatic toad), 523 nucleotides. RefSeq lists it as uncharacterized. The transcript has 4 exons. The record is from RefSeq and is a predicted model, not a curated record. NCBI's taxonomy places the organism in Eukaryota, Metazoa, Chordata, Amphibia, Anura, Bufonidae.